Molecule: ribosomal RNA, 460 nt
Filed under: uncultured bacterium
Lineage: Bacteria
Description: partial 16S ribosomal RNA
Rfam family: Bacterial small subunit ribosomal RNA
Source: RNAcentral
CCUACGGGUGGCAGCAGUGAGGAAUAUUGGUCAAUGGACGCAAGUCUGAACCAGCCAUGCCGCGUGCAGGAAGACUGCUCUAUGAGUUGUAAACUUCUUUUUUACGAGAGUAAACUCCGAUACGCAUAUCGGUUUGCAAGUAUCUUACGAAUAAGGAUCGGCUAACUCCGUGCCAGCAGCCGCGGUAAUACGGAGGAUUCAAGCGUUAUCCGGAUUUAUUGGGUUUAAAGGGUUCGUAGGCGGGCGGAUAAGUUAGUUGUGAAAUCCCGAGGCUCAACUGUGGAAUUGCCUCUGAUACUGGUAGGCUAGAGAGUAGUUGCGGUAGGCGGAAUGUAUGGUGUAGCGGUGAAAUGCUUAGAGAUCACACAGAACACCGAUUGCGAAGGCAGCUUACUAAGCUACUUCUGACGUUGAGGCACGAAAGCGUGGGGAGCAAACAGGAUUAGAUACCCGUGUAGUC